This is a non-coding RNA of Ciona intestinalis (vase tunicate), 507 nucleotides long. Lineage: Eukaryota; Metazoa; Chordata; Ascidiacea; Phlebobranchia; Cionidae. The record is from RefSeq and is a predicted model, not a curated record.
UCAUACCAUAGAGAACUACUAUAAUAGAGUGCACACUCCUGUUUUUUCGAUAGACUGGUAACGCUUGAUUUCGCCGAUCCCAUGUGACAGUUGCCAAUAGCAACGCCACAGCUUAAAACAAAAAAUGUGUACUUUGCUGAACCAGUGAACCUAGUUCGUUAAUAAUAUACUGAUUGUAGUUUAAACGAGUUUUUUAUUUAAUCGUUUUAAAUUUUCAUAUUGUUAAUUAUUUAGAAAUAUAACAUUAAAAUGAAUAAUCAUUGUAUACAUCUGCUGCUGUCAAGCGAUGUCUCUAAAAUACGCGCGAACAGCGCGAACGUCUCUAAAAUGCGCGCGAACAGCGCGAACGUCUAUAAAAUAAGCGCCAACGUGUUUUACAGAAAGAAUUGGGUCCCUUUAAAAUGUGCUGGUUGCGCGUGGUUGCGAAUAUUUUCCUAAAUAUAGGUCAAAAUUGAAAAGGGUUGCAUUUAUAUUAUACGUCUCAUUAAUACCAUUCUAACGGUGCCU